UCCAGACUCCUACGGGAGGCAGCAGUGGGGAAUAUUGCACAAUGGGGGAAACCCUGAUGCAGCGACGCCGCGUGAAGGAAGAAGUAUUUCGGUAUGUAAACUUCUAUCAGCAGGGAAGAAAGUGACGGUACCUGACUAAGAAGCCCCGGCUAACUACGUGCCAGCAGCCGCGGUAAUACGUAGGGGGCAAGCGUUAUCCGGAUUUACUGGGUGUAAAGGGAGCGUAGACGGCGAUGCAAGUCUGAAGUGAAAGGCGGGGGCCCAACCCCCGGACUGCUUUGGAAACUGUAUAGCUGGAGUGCAGGAGAGGUAAGUGGAAUUCCUAGUGUAGCGGUGAAAUGCGUAGAUAUUAGGAGGAACACCAGUGGCGAAGGCGGCCUGCUGGACGAUGACUGACGUUGAGGCUCGAAAGCGUGGGGAGCAAACAGGAUUAGAUACCCGGGUAUA
This 447-nucleotide ribosomal RNA is filed under the name uncultured bacterium. RNAcentral's name for it is "partial 16S ribosomal RNA". It matches the Rfam family "Bacterial small subunit ribosomal RNA", at positions 330 to 794 of the family's 1533-position model. The record is from RNAcentral.